Molecule: ribosomal RNA, 800 nt
Filed under: Paenarthrobacter nitroguajacolicus
Lineage: Bacteria; Bacillati; Actinomycetota; Actinomycetes; Micrococcales; Micrococcaceae
Description: bacterial SSU rRNA
Rfam family: Bacterial small subunit ribosomal RNA
Source: RNAcentral
CAGUCGACGAUGAUCCCAGCUUGCUGGGGGAUUAGUGGCGAACGGGUGAGUAACACGUGAGUAACCUGCCCUUGACUCUGGGAUAAGCCUGGGAAACUGGGUCUAAUACCGGAUAUGACUGUCUGACGCAUGUCAGGUGGUGGAAAGCUUUUGUGGUUUUGGAUGGACUCGCGGCCUAUCAGCUUGUUGGUGGGGUAAUGGCCUACCAAGGCGACGACGGGUAGCCGGCCUGAGAGGGUGACCGGCCACACUGGGACUGAGACACGGCCCAGACUCCUACGGGAGGCAGCAGUGGGGAAUAUUGCACAAUGGGCGCAAGCCUGAUGCAGCGACGCCGCGUGAGGGAUGACGGCCUUCGGGUUGUAAACCUCUUUCAGUAGGGAAGAAGCGAAAGUGACGGUACCUGCAGAAGAAGCGCCGGCUAACUACGUGCCAGCAGCCGCGGUAAUACGUAGGGCGCAAGCGUUAUCCGGAAUUAUUGGGCGUAAAGAGCUCGUAGGCGGUUUGUCGCGUCUGCUGUGAAAGACCGGGGCUCAACUCCGGUUCUGCAGUGGGUACGGGCAGACUAGAGUGCAGUAGGGGAGACUGGAAUUCCUGGUGUAGCGGUGAAAUGCGCAGAUAUCAGGAGGAACACCGAUGGCGAAGGCAGGUCUCUGGGCUGUAACUGACGCUGAGGAGCGAAAGCAUGGGGAGCGAACAGGAUUAGAUACCCUGGUAGUCCAUGCCGUAAACGUUGGGCACUAGGUGUGGGGGACAUUCCACGUUUUCCGCGCCGUAGCUAACGCAUUAAGUGCCCCGCC